AUUUAACGGUUUUGGCAUAGCAAAUGUAUCUAGAUCCUAGAUGCUUAAUGGCAGAGCCACCGGGUCCAACCAGACCAAACGUGGCUGCACGCAACGACGAGAACCGGUUGAAGUACGCCUGUGACGCCGGAAUCUUAACGGACGAUUUCAACGCCAAUGACCUCGACGGCGAAGAUUCUAAUAGCACACCAAGUUUUGACUCCGAGAGCUGCAAGUCGCCGCGUCUGGAGGAUCUGGCGGCCAGUUUACGUGUCUUCUCUGAGUCGCUAGCGAGAAUGGAUCUGGCUGAGACAGAGAUGACCAGGGCGAGGGAGACUUGGCGGUGCGAGGCAGAGAAGAGGCGGAUGGAGUUGGAGGCCGAAUUGACUCGCCUGAUGUUGGGGACUCAGUUGCAGAUCGCAUUGAUUGUCGCAGGGAAGGGGCCGAGUAAGAAAAGGAAGCGAGCUGAAGAAAUGGAAGAUGAAUCAGGCAUCUCUCCAAGGAAAGGAGCUUUAUUGCUAAGUUUGCUACAAUGCAACUUCAGCUUUUGAAGUAUACAAUGGCACAUCCUUUGUUUCUACUCGUCUUCUUUCUGGUCAAUCUGAAACAAUGUGAGCUUCAUAUUGAUACUUAAUUAUUUUAUGCCUCAAGUAUUUGGCAGUUGAAGUAUUUAUUAUCAUCCUAUCUUCACCUACUCUUAACUUAAAUCUAAUUGACCUCUAUUAAAACCUGGACUUCUUUGAUCUGCAUUGCUAGCUAUGUAGAGCCUUUCUUCCA
RNAcentral lists this unclassified non-coding RNA (756 nucleotides) under Hevea brasiliensis (rubber tree). The record is from RNAcentral. Lineage: Eukaryota; Viridiplantae; Streptophyta; Magnoliopsida; Malpighiales; Euphorbiaceae.